Mobula hypostoma (lesser devil ray) is the source of this 555-nucleotide long non-coding RNA. RefSeq lists it as uncharacterized. The transcript is spliced from 3 exons. NCBI's taxonomy places the organism in Eukaryota, Metazoa, Chordata, Chondrichthyes, Myliobatiformes, Myliobatidae. The record is from RefSeq and is a predicted model, not a curated record.
GCAGGGGUAUGGGAACCUGUGGGAGAGGGAGUUUGUGAUCCACCUGCAGAUGGGACCUAGUAAGUUAAGUUUGGAGAAUUUCUUUUGCAGACGCUCAGGGAUGAUGGUAUUGAAGGUUGAACUCAAAUCAACAAAUACAAUCCUGACAAAUGUUCCAGUGGAGUCAAGCUUCAAGAAAAUGAAAAUCCCGGAGUGAAAAGUGAUAAUGACGAACCCUGCGAAGUUUCCUGUAACUGGAAAUUCAAACAGGCAGAUACCAUUGUGAAGCAUGCUUGCACAGAGAUACAGCACGGUUACAAGCCUUCCAGCCAACUAAACCUGUGCGACCCAAUUACACCCAUGUAAUUAACCUACUGACCCGUAGAUCUUUGGAAUGUGAAAGCAUACCGGAACACACAGAAGAAAGACAUGUGGUCAUGGCGAGAAUGUACAAACUCCUCGCAGACAGUGGUGGGAAAUGAACAAUGGUUGCUGACACUGUAACAGCAAAUAGUCUACUUAAAUAUCUCUUCAACGUAAUGAUUGUAUCUGAUUCUGCCUUCUACUCAGGCAGUG